UACAGAGGGUGCAAGCGUUAAUCGGAAUUACUGGGCGUAAAGCGUGCGCAGGCGGUUCGCUGUGUCCUGUGUGAAAGCCCCGGGCUUAACCUGGGAAUGGCAUGGGAAACUGGCGGGCUGGAGUGUGGCAGAGGGGGUGGAAUUCCGCGUGUAGCAGUGAAAUGCGUAGAGAUGCGGAGGAACACCGAUGGCGAAGGCAGCCCCCUGGGCUAACACUGACGCUCAGGCACGAAAGCGUGGGGAGCAAACAGG
This 252-nucleotide ribosomal RNA is filed under the name uncultured bacterium. RNAcentral's name for it is "partial 16S ribosomal RNA". It matches the Rfam family "Bacterial small subunit ribosomal RNA", at positions 524 to 776 of the family's 1533-position model. The record is from RNAcentral.